GGCGAUCAGAUACCGCCCUAGUUCUGACCGUAAACGAUGCCAACUAGCGAUCCGCCAGUCGACUCAUCGCUCUGGUGGGGAGCUUCCCGGAAACGAAAGUCUUCCGGUUCCGGGGGAAGUAUGGUUGCAAAGCUGAAACUUAAAGGAAUUGACGGAAGGGCACCACCAGGAGUGGAGCCUGCGGCUUAAUUUGACUCAACACGGGGAAACUCACCCGGCCCGGACACCGUAAGGAUUGACAGAUUGAUAGCUUUUUCAUGAUUCGGUGGAUGGUGGUGCAUGGCCGUUCUUAGUUCGUGGAGCGAUUUGUCUGGUUUAUUCCGAUAACGAGCGAGACUCUGGCCUACUAAAUAGUUGACGCAUUGCCACUGUGCGCACAACUUCUUAGAGGGAUUUUCGGUGUUUUCAACCGCACGAAAUUGAGCAAUAACAGGUCUGUGAUGCCCUUAGAUGUCCGGGGCUGCACGCGCGCUACACUGGCAAACGCAACGUGCCUGUCCUGCCCCGAAAGGAGCGGGUAAACCCCUGAAAUUUUGCCGUGAUUGGGAUCGGACAUUGCAACUAUUGUCCGUGAACGAGGAAUUCCUUGUAGGGGCGAGUCAUCAACUCGUCCCGAAUACGUCCCUGCCCUUGUA
Molecule: ribosomal RNA, 635 nt
Filed under: Rotylenchulus reniformis
Lineage: Eukaryota; Metazoa; Nematoda; Chromadorea; Rhabditida; Hoplolaimidae
Description: SSU rRNA
Rfam family: Eukaryotic small subunit ribosomal RNA
Source: RNAcentral